Molecule: long non-coding RNA, 2897 nt
Filed under: Olea europaea subsp. europaea
Lineage: Eukaryota; Viridiplantae; Streptophyta; Magnoliopsida; Lamiales; Oleaceae
Rfam family: mir-172 microRNA precursor family (bases 805-931)
Source: RNAcentral
CCCUAACCCUUUUCUUCCUCCAAAGCCCAACCCACCCCCACCCCCUCGCUCUCUCUCUCUCUCUCUCUCUCUCUCUCACACACACACACACACAUAUCCACACACACACACGAGAACCUGGUUCAAUGGCCCCAAAAUUAGAUCUCAGUCAUGUUUAUAUUUCUUCGUUUAAACUGACAGCCUGUGCUGAAUUCAUUUCGUUUUUUGACAAUUUAUACACUCUUCUUUCUCAUUCAAAGAUGUUGAUUCGGAGAGUCGCAAUCAGUGCUUAUUUAAGUUCUUUCUUGGUCGAUUAUUAUAGCUGAUCCAGCAGAAAAAAGAUAAGAUCAGUUGAUGCUAGAAUCUGAGCCGAUAGUUUCUUGCAUAAAAUCCAGGGAAUCACGAGCACCUGCUUUUGAUUUUUCUUGCCAUUUUUUCUUCACCUUUUUCGGUGAUUUGAAAUAUUCAAUUCCAUUUGAAGGGAAAAAUAACAAAAAAGAAAAUAGAGGUUUUCUUUUCUUUUCUUUCUUUCUUUCUUUUUUUUUUUUGGUAUCUCGUGUAGUUUGAAAAUGAGUUUGAAUACUUGAGGUUACUCUUAGUUACAUCAUCAAGUCAUUGCUCUACAUUUUGCCCAUUAGAAAUAAACCACAUCAGCCUCAAGCUCGUGGCUUUCUUUGAUUGUUCUGAUUCCAAUAUGCACAUAAAUCUCAGUGUUUAAUCUCUAAACCACAUACCCCUAGCACUUUUUGAUCCCUAAUUUGUUAUAGGUUUUCUCUCUGCAAGUCUUGGUGAUUUUAUGCAUGGAUCUAUACGUGUACACAGUCGUUGAUUUCUGGUGUAGCACCAUCAAGAUUCACAUAUAAAGGCAAGAUGGUAAACUGAUAUAGUCUCUCUCUCUCUCUACCAAAGCUUUUGAUGGUGAGAAUCUUGAUGAUGCUGCAUCGGCAAUAAACGACUAGCAAAUCAAUAGAAAAAGUCGGUCACAGGUGUGUCUCCUUUUUCAGUUAUUUGAUCAAGAUUCAAGAGGGUUAAACUCACUGUUUUCCAGUUCUUUUUAUGAUUCUCUGUCAGGUGGGAUUUUUGGUGUUUUCCAGGACUAAAAUAUUACUUUUACUGUUUUAUUUUCUCUUUGUUUUCUGUCAGCUGUAUCAAGAACAGACUAAAGUGACUACACUCUGCUGAUGAAAUACUCUGAUCGAGUACUGCAUAGAUCUGUGAUUAUUCUUCCGUGCAGAAAAAAGUCUCUAUAAUAGAGAUGGGAUGUAAAUGUAAUCAAGGGUCCAGAACUUGGGAGAGAGAAUAAUUACCAUAAAGUGGAAAUUGUUGGAUUCAUUUUUGCUUAUUUAUUUUUAACAUAUAACAUUCACCUGAUUUAUAUGCUUAUCAGACCUUGUUUAUGACUGUUUUCAGAAAUUAAUGCAUAUGCAAAUUGAAUGGUCAGCUUUGGACAAGAAUUUGCUGCGACAGCCAAUCAAUAAAAAGAGGUAAAGAAAAGAAAGUUUAUUAAAUGUUGUAUUUGCUUAUAGAAUAUAACUAAUGUAUUAAAUCAAUAUCACAUAGAAGUUUGGUUAUGUGUUUUUGUUUGUCUUUUAUAGAGGAGAUUCAAGAUAUAAAUGAUUAUUUUAUGGACAUUCUUAGUUAUAAGUGGAUUUUUUGUCUGUUCAAGUCAUAGUUUUCUUUAAAAAUUGCAACAUAUCUUGGAACUUCUCAGUGCAAAUUGUGGUAGAACUAAACCUGAUAGUAACGUGACUCCAUGGUUAGGUUUAUUGGUUUUAACAUUUGAUCACAAUCAGUCCUUUAGGUGGACCUUCUUGAGAAACAUCUAAGCAACUUGACCUAUUGAUAUGUACUCUCUCUCCGAACAUAGCCACCACUUAAUGGUAAUAUCCUCACAAGUUUGUCGAAGUAGCUUGGUUUUCCCUCGACCUAUGCAAUUGAUUAUGUUGAUAAUUUGAAUAAUUCAAUUAAAUAGAGAUUGUUAGAUGCACGUGUGUGGGAACAAUCUUUUUUUUUUUUUUUUAUGCGUGUUUGAAUAGAGAUCGAUGGUCUUCAUAGUCUUGGAUGUGUGAAGGGGUGCUAUAUAUGAGCCGAUGACAUAACUUGGCCUGAUGCAAUAGAAAGGCUUGUAAUCCAAGUGAAUUUUGUGCUUCAAAAGCUUACUUUGGAGGAAUUGAAUGACUUUGCCUAGAUUUGAUCACCAUUUUAUGUGGAUGGCCAAUGAUAUUAAUGUAGAUGAGGUACAAUGAAAUUAACAUUUGCUAAGUCAGCCAUUUAAUAUUUCUGAUUUCCAUGGAAAAAAUUUAGCCCUUGUUUGAGCCUCGUUCUUGUCAAAAAAUACAUUUUUGAAUAGUGUAUCGAUGGAUAAUGUGUGGUUAAAAAAUAAAAAUAAAAAUAAAAAGUUAUGAAUUUGCGUAUAAUAUUAUUUUAUUGAAGAAUGUGUGGUUGAAGCGGGGUCAACUAACUAUUGAAAAAUGUAUUUUGAUGGAAAAACAGGACUUAAAAGGAUUUUUGUAGUCAACCCGAAAUCUAUCAUGAACAAAGCUUGGUUCAUGUUGUUGUAGUUAUUGAGGUGCCAUUUGACCAUUCGAGUCCUUACCAGUAGUUCUCUCUUCUACUUUAUGUGUUGUCAAUCCAAAUUCUAUCCUGCUUACAGAUUUUCCGUCCAUAAUCGAAAUGUCGAAGCUAAUGUAGAGAAUAUUGCACUCUAGUCUACAUUUGCAUCAAUAAUAUUUGAUCAAUUAAAUAUAGUCCUGUACUACCUCAAAAUUUCUGCAAUUCUGUACCAGCAGAAUUGCAUUUCACAUAACGCUAACAAAAUAAGACACGAUAGGGGGUUGGGUGAUUGGCCUUUUUUUUAUUUUUUUAUUUUUUUUUAUUUUUUUUUAUCACAAUAUGGGACCUGCACAAUGUGAGAUUUC